Molecule: small RNA, 272 nt
Filed under: synthetic construct
Source: RNAcentral
GGACCGAGAAGUUACCCAAAACCGCAACUGGUCACUAUGUGAGCCAGAAGUGAAUUGGAAGCUAGCGUGAGCAAACAAGUUCGAUCUUGGAUUCCCUGGGAAUCCUGCCUAUUUAAACACUAAAUCUGUCGCAAUGGAAACGCGGUGGCUAGGUUGCGCGUUACUACCAUAUUGGCACCAGAUACGCAGUAGAGUAAUCGGGAAGUACUGGAUGCCAUAGUGUAGACAAUAGGCCUCUACCAGCGGUGUGUUGUAACGCACAUCGCAGCAAC